GACGAACGCUGGCGGCGUGCUUAACACAUGCAGGUCGAACGGAAAGGCCCUGCUUUUGUGGGGUGCUCGAGUGGCGAACGGGUGAGUAACACGUGAGUAACCUGCCCUUGACUUUGGGAUAACUUCAGGAAACUGGGGCUAAUACCGGAUAGGAGCUCCUGCUGCAUGGUGGGGGUUGGAAAGUUUCGGCGGUUGGGGAUGGACUCGCGGCUUAUCAGCUUGUUGGUGGGGUAGUGGCUUACCAAGGCUUUGACAGGUAGCCGGCCUGAGAGGGCGACCGGUCACAUUGGGACUGAGAUACGGCCCAGACUCCUACGGGGGGCAGCAGUGGGGAAUAUUGCACAAUGGGCGGAAGCCUGAUGCAGCAACGCCGCGUGCGGGAUGACGGCCUUCGGGUUGUAAACCGCUUUCGCCUGUGACGAAGCGUGAGUGACGGUAAUGGGUAAAGAAGCACCGGCUAACUACGUGCCAGCCGCCGCAGUAA
This 484-nucleotide ribosomal RNA is filed under the name uncultured bacterium. Its description in RNAcentral is "partial 16S ribosomal RNA". It matches the Rfam family "Bacterial small subunit ribosomal RNA", at positions 28 to 523 of the family's 1533-position model. The record is from RNAcentral.